This is a long non-coding RNA of Loxodonta africana (African savanna elephant), 6181 nucleotides long. RefSeq lists it as uncharacterized. The record is from RefSeq and is a predicted model, not a curated record. NCBI's taxonomy places the organism in Eukaryota, Metazoa, Chordata, Mammalia, Proboscidea, Elephantidae. The transcript is spliced from 3 exons.
GUACUUUAACCACUGCACCACCAGGGCUCCUUACAUAUCAGAUAUGUAAAUACAUAUAUGCAGAUAGGGGGUAUAUAUAGAGAGAGAGCAUGCGCCACAUGGAAAUUCUAGAACUGAAAAGUACAGCAACUUCUCUAAACUGAAAAAUAGGAAGAAAAAUGAAAAGAACUUCAAGAACCUGUGGAGCAAUAUGAAAUGGUCUAAUACACAUAUAAUAGAAACUCCAGAAGGAGAAGACAGUAAGAAAGGAGCAGAAAAAUAUAUUUGAAGAAAUAAUGUCUGAAAUUUUCCAAAAAUUGAGAACACAUACUGACUUAAAGAUCUAGGAAGGCAGCAAAUGUCAAUCAGCAUAAACAUACAGAAAAUCACAUCUAGAUACAUCAUAGUCAAACUGCUGAAAAUCUAAGGUAAAAAUCUUGAAAGUAACCAGAGAAAAAAGGCAUACUGAACACAACAGAACAUAAUGAUGGCGUCGUUACAGUGUUGAAAUUAAAUAAACAGAAACAAACAGAAAAUUGUCAACUCAGAAUUCUAUAUUCACAGGAUUUUUUUUUAAAAGGUGAAAUAAAGGCAUUUUCAGAAAAAUAAAAGAUUAGAACAUGUAUCACCAACAGAUCUGCACCACGAGAAACGCUUAAGGAUAUCUUUGGGCUAAAGAGAAAUGAGACGAAUGGAAACAGAUCUACAGGAGUGAAGAAGUGCCCAGAAACGGCAAUGGCAGUGCUGUACCUUUUGACUAUACACUCAUGCGCUGCAUGACUUCCCUCUGCACAAUGUCGGGCCCAGCUAGCACCCUCCGGGGGAUGCCUGCAGCUCAACUUGGCAGCAAUGCCGCUCCGCUGUCCCUGACGGGUCUCCAAGUAAAGGAAAACCACCUGGCCAUUAACUGAACAUGAAUGAACUCAAGCAUCUUCCUUAAAAUAAAAUUUAACUGGGGCUUCCUAGAAUGAACACAACUUCACGUCAUAUUUUCCAAAAGUUAAAAAUCUCAGUAAACAAAAGAAAUCCUCAAUGGUAUAUUCCUCUUUGUUCUUCUGAUCAAAAUAAUAUGUUUCUCCCCCCUUAAAAAAAAUCUUGAUCUCAUUUCAGUUAUAUAUUUUAUGUUGUUUGCUGUGAUUGACUUUGUUUUCAAAAUGUGUACUCAAAUUCCUUUCCAAAAGUGUAUUUAUAGUGAAAAAAUAAGGCCUCCCUUCCCUGUAGAUCCUAAAGUAGUUUCUGGGAAGAUGGAAUGAACAGGGGAAAAUUGGAGUUUACACAUGUAUAAGUGAGAAAAUGUAAAAUUGAUGUUUUAAGAACUGAGAUGUGAUACUUCCUAGUUUCUGACUGGUGGUCAGUUCCUUCAUUUCUUUUCAUAUGCAGAUAUUAUAUAUUUUGUAGCAGAAAAGCCAUAUUUAAAAAUUUCUGAGUCUGUGGUCUUUUCUCCAUAACUGUCACCUGUUGGAGCUUGUGCCUGAAAAGACUGUAGUAUUACAGGUAACGGUAGGAAAAUUGGGAAUAUUGACAUGUGUUGACUAUUUCUUGCAGCUCUCAAGAAUGGAAUCUAAGGUUGAAGUUUAAACUAAAAGUGGCAUGCUUAAAUACAUAAAGGAAAGAAAAUAGAGCUUUCCUCUUUCUGCCUGUAAGCUGUAAUCUAAAGUGACUGAAAGUCCCAUAAUUUGGAGAUUUUCAAAGUUGGAAAUUCCAAUUUUAUACAAAAUCAGUGAAAAAAAGGACAGGAAGAAAGAAAUUUCACAGGAGACAAGGCUAAUACGAUUGGGACAAAAGCAAGUCUGAUCUUCAGUGCCUCUCUCUAAUAUCUCCUCUCAAACAUUCUUCACAAAACAAGAGGCACAAUCCAGUUUAGAGGCACCUGGAAAGCCUGGGAUUAUAGAAGGUGCUUUCCCUUUUCUACUCCGCUCCCUUUUCCAUCACAUGGCUAAUGCUAUCAAUUGCUUAAUGUAGAAGCCAUUAAACUUUGUAUUUGGGGUGGCAGAGCAUAGAGACUCAUGAUGAGAAGACACAGAUUGUGGAACUCACAGACCUCUUCAGACCAGAUUGUUAGCCUUUAUUGGUUGCCAGAAUGGAUCAUAAGCAAAUUUCAAACUUGACUGACCAAAGUUUGGGACCAUUCAAGCCCUAAGGUGGUCCUAACAUCAUAGAAUCUGUACCUGCAGGAAGUGGGCUGCUAAAUCUGGUGGCCUCCAAGGGAUAAUCUUCCCCAGUGCUCAUCUCAGAGGUAGACAUGAAAGAUGAUGGGCAAGGGAGAUCCUCCAGGAGAGCAGAACCAGGAGUGGCCCUACUGGCUGACUGAGAAACCCAUUCCACUCCUGGGUCAUAGGAAUAGUACUUGCUAUUCCUCUUCUGCAGGAAGUAAUAUGUGUUAUGGACCAGUGGGAGUCCCUGGGUGGUGCAAAUAGUUAAUAUACUCAGCUGCUAACCAAAAGGUUGGAGGUUCAAGUCCACUCAGAGGCGUCUCAGAAGAAAGGCCUGGUGAUCUACUUCUGAAAAAUCAGCCAUUAAAAACACUACUGAGCAGAGUCCUACUUUGACACAGAUUGGGUCACCAUGACUCAGAGUUGACUCAAUGGCAACUAGUUUGGGUAUGGACUAGUGGCUACUGUUACUUUUCUGAAUAGGAGUUUUUAUUGAAUUAAUUUUUUUCUUCUCCGUGAGAUUUUAGGUUACUUUCACUCAUGGAGGGACAAUGUCUAUUUCAUGGAAACAUAGGCAUUUUUUGAACAAUGUGUGGAACAUGGAGUAUGUACGGAUGUUGGGAAGCCACAGAAGCGAACUGUGGAAGAUGAUGGUUGACUGGUUAUCAGCCCAACAAUCUUUCUUCCUUGUCAGUAGAGCCUUUGCUUUGUUUGAGUGUGACUCAGGCUAGAGGACCCUAUUCCUUAUUAUUAGGAUAAAUGCUGUUGUCAUGUGUCAGUUAUUGUAAUUCCAUUUUCUCUGCCAUUGAUUGGUUUUCACCAAUGGAUCUUGAUGAGAAGUGGUGGGUUGCUGAAGAAGGUUUCCCCACGGAGAGAGACAAAGGGAAGACACAACAUCUUCUACUGCUUGAAGUUAUUUCUGGAUGUGACUCUUGGAACUGCCUUAGUCUCCUUGGAUAUAUGGGGUAUUCUCCUGAGGACAGUCUGAUAUGGAAAGAACCCAGGUCCUUGUCAAUGUCACUGCACCAUGAAGCUAACUCAGCUCCAUAUUUCUUGUGAUGGAAAGGAAUUAAUUGUCCUGAUUGUUUAAGCCAGCUGAUUUCGGGCUUGCUGUUACUUGCAUAAUAACUCCCAUGGAGCAAAAAGAAGGGAAAUUGCAGGUGUUGAUGGAAAUUAUUUCCAGAAUCUGUAUCUCAGGGCUGGUAAAUAAAGAUUUGACAACAGCCCUGUGGUUAAAUUAUUGUUAGCUUGCUUGGGAAAAAUUAGAAAAUGGUGUUGUCUUCCAGGAAUUAUGAUACAAAUUGUUAUUUGUCUUUAGAGCCCCUGGAUGCUAUUUGCUGAAAUAAACAAUAUGUGGUCUGAUUAGGUUUUUCUGUGGUCUGAUUGGAAGCUCUGUUCUGAACAGGGCUAGGAGGCUGGUCAUUUAUUUUUCUUUCAUCAUAAGGAGGGAGCUGCCUGUGUCUUCACUUGAGCUGGGCAGCAUAACAAUCUCAAUAAAACUAUCAACUUUGUAAGAACAAUUUCUCUCUGUUGCAAAGUUCCAGACAGCUUGCCUGAACCGCAUCUUUCACCAUCACGCUCAAUAUAUCAUGAGAGAAAGCUACUUCUACCAGGUCACCAGAACUGAUUUCCAACCUACUUUGUAUAAGUAAAAAUAACGUUUUAAAUACAAAACUGGGGACUACACAGCAAUAAGAACGACACUCAACCACAGGCAACAACAUGGGCACAUCUCACAAAUGAAAGAGAACCCAGACACAAAACAUAUCUUGCACAAUUCCAGAAAGUACAAAAGCAGGCAAAAUUAAUCAAUGACAUCAGAAGUCAGGAGAAAGGCUACCGCGAGGUGGUGGUGGUGGUGGUGGGGUACAUGGCUGGGAAGGAGAUAUGUGGGAGCCUUCUGAGUUGCUGUAAAUGUUCUGAUUCUUGACCUGGAUAUUGGUUACAAGGGUAUGUGUAUUUUGUGAAAUGUUAUUUAGUUAUGUAUUUGUGAUUAUACAGGUUUUUUUUUAUGUGUAUGUUAUAAUUCAAUAAAAAGUUGGCCAAAAAUAAUUACAAAACUGAAGCUUAGUGGGUAUUUACUGAAAUUCUAUGUUCAAGAAAGACAUGACAGUGGCAGAAAGUAGGAAGCUAGAGCCAUUGCUUGAUUUUUUUUCUUUUGUAUUCAUUUUAAGUAGUUCCUGAGUGGUACAAAUGAUUAACAAACAUGGCUGUUAACUGAAAGGUUGGAGAUUUGAAUCCAUUCAGAGGUGCCUUUGAAGAAAGGCCUAGUGAUCUACUUCCAAAGUCAGCCAUGGAAAACUUUAUGGAACACAGUUCUACCCUGACACACAUGGGGUCACCAUGAGUAGGAAUGGUCACUGGUUGGUGACCCUCCCCAAUAAAGUUGGUUAAAAAAUGGAAAAUAUUUGGAAAUGUGAAAUAUUAUUAGAAUGUUUAAUAACUGAUUCUAUAGUCUUGGCCAUUCUUUAUAGAAAUUCUGUUUAGGAAAACAAUAGGCUAAUGUUUACAGUUGAGAUCUAUAAGAUUGUCUGCCCAACGUUCACCAUACUUGUUUUUCUAGAAAACACCACGCUCGCCAUCCGUGUUUCUCAUGGGAGUCACCAUAUGUUUUUUCACAUGACCCAUCAGCCUACCCAGAGUUAGCUUGUUUGGGAGCUGGCAUUCAGUCUGGGCUAUUGACUCCUUUGCUUGGGUUUGAGACCAACAGAGUCCCCUCUAGUGUCAGAAGCUGGAAGAUAUACAAACAGGUUGUUUGGUAGACAUUUAUGAAGUCUUGAUUCCUUUGCAACUUAAAAAGUAGUACACAUAGGGAAGCGAUUAAGAGCAUGGACGUGGGGGUCAGAGAGACCUGUUUAAAUCUCAGCUCCUCCACUUACAAACCACAUGUAUUCACUCUUUCUAAACCUGUUUCCUCAUCUGUAAAAUGGGGAUAAUUCUAGAAGAUUAAUUGAAUAACACACUUAAAGCACUCAGCACUCUGGCUGGCACACAGAAAGUGCUCAAUCAAUGUUAGUUAUCGAUAUGACCUUUGUGUUGAUGGAGCUCUAUGCCUCUCUUGAUGCACUGGUAUUAUACUUUCUUAUUUAUAUAUGUGCUUCAUCCUCUAUUAGUCUAUAUUUCUUUAGGGCAGGGGCUGAAACUUACCUAUCUUUAUAAUGCCCUCAGAAAGAGUCUGGUGUCUCAGUGAAAGUUUGCUGAAUUGAAUAUAUAUGUUGUUCUUAGGUGCUGUCGAGUCGGUUCCGACUCAUAGCGACCCUAUGCACAACAGAACGAAACACUGCCCAGUCCUGCAUCAUCCUUACAAUCGUUGUUAUGCUUGAGCUCAUUGUUGCAGCCACUGUGUCAAUCCACCUCGUUGAGGGUCUUCCUCUUUUUCACUGACCCUGUACUCUCCCAAGCAUGAUGUCCUUCUCCAGAGACUCAUCCCUCCUGAUGAAGUAUGUAAGACGCAGUCUCACCAUCCUUGCCUCUAAGGAGCAUUCUGGCUGCACUUCUUCCAAGACAGAUUUGUUCAUUCUUUUGGCAGCCCAUGGUAUAGUCAAUAUUCUUCGCCAACACCACAAUUCAAAGGCGUCAACUCUUUGGUCUUCCUUAUUCAUUGUCCAGCUUUCACAUGCAUAUGAUGCGAUUGAAAACACCAUGCCUUGGGUCAGGCGCACCUUAGUCUUCAGGGUGACAUCUUUGCUCUUCAACACUUUGAAGAGGUCCUUUGCAGCAGAUUUGCCCAAUGCAAUGUGUCUUUUGAUUUCUCGACUGCUGCUUCCAUGGGUGUUGAUUGUGGAUCCAAGUAAAAUGAAAUCUCUGACAACUUCAAUUUUUUCUCCAUUUAUCAUGAUGUUGUUCAUUGGUCCAGUAGUGAGGAUUUUUGUUUUCUUUAUGUUGAGGUGUAAUCCAUACUGAAGGCUGUGGUCUUUGAUCUUCAUUAGUAAGUCCUUCAAGUCCUCUUCACUUUCAGCAAACAAGGUUGUGUCAUCUGCAUAACGCAGGUUGUUAAUGAGUCUUCCUCCAAUCCUGAUGCCCCAUUCUUCUUCAUAUAGUCCAGCUUC